RNAcentral lists this ribosomal RNA (406 nucleotides) under uncultured bacterium. RNAcentral describes it as "partial 16S ribosomal RNA". It matches the Rfam family "Bacterial small subunit ribosomal RNA", at positions 29 to 526 of the family's 1533-position model. The record is from RNAcentral.
AUUGAACGCUGGCGGCAGGCCUAACACAUGCAAGUCGAACGAGUGGCGGACGGGUGAGUAAUGUCUGGGAAAAUGCCUGAUGGAGGGGGAUAACUACUGGAAAAGGUAGCUAAUACCGCAUAACAUCAGAUGUGCCCAGAUGGGAUUAGCUAGUUGGUGGGGUAACGGCGCACCAAGGCGACGAUCACUAGCUGGUCUGAGAGGAGGACCAUCUACACGUGAACUGAGACACGGUCCACACGCCUACGGGAGGCAGAAGUGGGGAAUAUUGCACAAGGGGCGCAAGCCGGAGGCAGCCAUGCCGCGUGUAUGAAGAAGGCCUUCGGGUUGUAAAGUACUUUCAGCGGGGAGGCGUUACCCGCAGAAGAAGCACCGGCUAACUCCGUGCCAGCAGCCGCGGUAAUAC